Molecule: ribosomal RNA, 642 nt
Filed under: Alnicola inculta
Lineage: Eukaryota; Fungi; Basidiomycota; Agaricomycetes; Agaricales; Hymenogastraceae
Description: eukaryotic LSU rRNA
Rfam family: 5.8S ribosomal RNA (bases 233-386)
Source: RNAcentral
UUGGUGUGGUUGUUGCUGGCCCUCUUGGGGCAUGUGCACACUCGCCAUUCUCAUCUCUCCACCUGUGCACCUCUUGUAGACUUGGAUUGACUUUCCGAGGCAACUCGGUCGGUAGAACUGCUGUGCUUGUUGAGCCGGCUUUUCUUGCAUUUCCAGGUCUAUGUUUUUCAUAUACCCUUAGUAUGUAACAGAAUGUAUCAUUGGGCCUUUUUGGCCUAUAUAAACCUUAUACAACUUUCAGCAACGGAUCUCUUGGCUCUCGCAUCGAUGAAGAACGCAGCGAAAUGCGAUAAGUAAUGUGAAUUGCAGAAUUCAGUGAAUCAUCGAAUCUUUGAACGCACCUUGCGCUCCUUGGUAUUCCGAGGAGCAUGCCUGUUUGAGUGUCAUUAAAUUCUCAACCUUAUUAGCUUUUGCUAAUAAUGGCUUGGAUUUGGGGGUCUUUUUGCCGGCUUCUUCACCGAGGUCAGCUCCCCUUAAAUGCAUUAGCUGGUGCCCUGUGUGGACUUGUCUAUUGGUGUGAUAAUUAUCUACGCCGUGGAUGUCUGCAAUUAUAUGGGUUUGCACUGCUUCUAACUGUCUGUUUAUUCAGACAAUACAUGACAAUUUGACCUCAAAUCAGGUAGGACUACCCGCUGAACUUAA